AAAGUGAAGAAGCAGGAGGAAGAGUUAGCAACGGCAUUGAUCUUUUACAAUAUUUAAUGAGAUGUGGGAUUGAGAUUUGUUUCUGAUAUGUAAUAUCAACAUUUUCCUGUAGGCUAAGAUAAACAUUGGCCUUUUUCUCUGUGUUGGCUUGCAGUUUGAAGUGUCAGAAUCAAAUUAAUCAGCUAUUGGAUCGAGUUUCUCCGGCAACAUCCACAUUUUCAAUGGUAUGCUGCUUUCAAACUUUAAAGAAGAGUAUCUCUGUUUCUGAACUCUGUUUUUUUACUUAGACUUGCACUAUUUAGGUGCAUUGCAUGAUAUUUAUAUGAUAAUAGUUAUUGUUGCACUAAUGAAGUGAAUGAGCGGUCACAUUGUCGUUCUCUAAGACAUUAGAGAUAAUGUUUGUUGGUUUUUUAAUCUAUUUUGUACUCAAAGAGAUGACAAGAUGAGCACAAAUGUAGAUGUUUUUCCUUCAUUAGAUUGUAUUAAAGAUGUAAAAGGAUAAAGGAAAGGCUUUGUUACCUUCUGAUUGUGGAGUUAAUGAAUAUUAUGCCCAUGAUCUUCACUGAUUAUCUAGAUUUGCCCAGCCAUGAUCUCACCUAGCAUUUGAUAAAAAUAGAUUUAAAAUACCACCAGACUGACUUUGGUUUCCAAUCUAGCUAGUUCAAAGUUGUGCAUUUUAUUUGAAUUUAUGAUAUUUAUUACUUGCACAAAUGUAUUUUAUAUGCAUGUAUGUGUAGUGUAAUGAAUAUAUUUCUUUUGAGUUGAUUUGUGUGGAGCUUUAUGAUGUUGGAAAUUUGUCUUGUUUGUGAUUAUAGAUGGCACUGUAAUGGUACAUUUGAUGUACGCAAUAGAACUGGAGGUUGUUUUGGAACCAUGAGGUUCCAUACUGAGCUGGCUCAUGGAGCCAACAAUGGCAUUGACAUUGCUUUUAGGUUCUUGUAGCCCAUUAGGGAGCAAUUCUCUUUCCUUUAUCUUACUGAUUUCUAUCAAGAAGUUUAUUGAUUUAGAAUGUUUAUAUUACGUAAUUUGUUUGGUUUGCUUUAUUAAAUAUAUAUAUUUUUUAGAGAAAUUGGAUUAUUUUCAUCCUCAUCUUGCACAUAGUUGGCUGCUGGUGUUGUUGAAGUUACUGGAGUACGUAAAAUUCCAAUCCAUCUAGGAAGGCUGGUUAGUAUUUUUUUUUUCCCACUCAAGUGAUGCAUUUAACAAUUUUAUGUUUAUAAUCUGCAUGUACAAAUUGUGAUAUGCACAUUUUUUGAGUUAUUAUGUUGUCUAUUCAUUAUUAAGAAGCCAUGUUUUAGAAUGUGGUAUAGCUUGUGUGGUUGUAAAGAGUAAGACACAAUUUAUCCCUUUAUGAAUUUAAAUGUCUAUUCAUUUUUUGCAUUUGAACUUCGUCUUAAAUUUGUAGUCACAUACAACUUGUAAGAAUUGAACCUAGAUGUUUUGCAUCAUUAUUUAUGAUAUGAGAUAUUUGAUAUAUUUUUCCUCUAAAUAAUAUUUUAUUACUUUUUAUAUGUUCAUCUUUGACUAAAGUUUUGGAGCUUGUCCUUUCAGGAAUCCUCAUUUAACCAAAUAACAAAUUGUGGUUGAGCUGAAAGUAUAUCUUGGAGUCAAGAAAGUUAUUUGAUUGUCCUGUGAAUUAGUAGUUAUUUAUUCAGUCUUUGGAUUUGAUUUUCUUCUUUUUAGGUUUGGUGAACUACACUAAGUAGUUCAUUCAUGAAAUUGUUAGCAUAUAUUUUAUUGGUAUUUGUUUUGGUUUUGGAGGUAACCAAGUUUGUAAAUAAUGCUUUGACCUAUAUUUAUUUGAUUGACA
RNAcentral lists this long non-coding RNA (1810 nucleotides) under Olea europaea subsp. europaea. Lineage: Eukaryota; Viridiplantae; Streptophyta; Magnoliopsida; Lamiales; Oleaceae. The record is from RNAcentral.